This 3782-nucleotide long non-coding RNA is filed under the name Homo sapiens (human). RNAcentral's name for it is "HSALNT0401861". The record is from RNAcentral. Lineage: Eukaryota; Metazoa; Chordata; Mammalia; Primates; Hominidae.
UUCUUUUCCUGCUCCAAGAAAAGGCAAAGUGACUGGGUUGAUGGGACUCCACGGGACUAACAAUGGUUGGCCCCUGAACUGUUUUCUAAGGAUGGAAUCAGCGAAAACUGCCUGGCUUUUGUUUUGCUGGCCAGAUCAUGCAAGCUGUGAAUUGAAUUACUAGGGAAAGGAGAAAAAUAGUUGAGAGGCAGUGUUGGGAAUGUUAGGCUGAAGGAAAAACAAAGAGAACUAGAAGACGUCGGGGCCCAUAGUGGAACUUUGAGAAAUGAACAGAUGCGUUUAAAAGGUAGGUACUGAGAAAUUGAGCAAUUCACAAUAGAAUGGAUAUGGCAGCAGCUUCAAAAUUUACAAAAUAGUUGAUUAUGAUCACAUGCUACACCCUCGACUUGCUGAUGGGGCAGCGUGGAUUCAACCAGGAAUGUCCUCCUUCCUGAAUGGAUGAUGAUGGGGCAAACACAGCGUUCCAGUCACUAGACAUGUACCUCCUAUGCAGGUGGGCACACAAGACAGCUGACUAAGGGAAGAAAUGCAUGAGAAAUUUGCAAAGAGGGAAAGCCAAGAGCACCUGUAGUGUUCUGGAGGUAGCUGCACACUGACAUCCCUUCACACCCAGUGGCCUCUUGUGAAAGAGAAGGCAAUGCAAUGCCGUCGGAGACAAAGCCCAGCUGAAGAGAGGCAGUGCACUUGCUGAUGGAUACUAAAUGAAAAGCAGGCAGAAAUCAGCAAUGCAUCCAGCUUCUGUUGAGGGAGAUUCAGUGGAAUGAUUUUUAUAUUUUCAUGAAGAAAUUACAGUUGAAUAUUAAAACCUGGUAUUUCAGUUUAUCUGGUCUGACUCCCAUCUAACUAACCAACAUAGCCAUGGAUUUUGUAAAACUCACUUAGCAAAUCAUCUUAAUUGGUACCAAAAAAGUGAUGGCUAUGGAAAUAUUGGCAUUUCUAUGUGCAUAACUGAUGUUUUUAUGAGGAUAAGAGGGAGAGAAGAAUCACAUUUCAAAGAAGCUUCUACUGAAAUAAACUAACCAGAAGAACUAAUUGUGGCAUACUUAACAGCUUUGAGCUUUAUGUGUACACUACCUAUGUUUCCUGUUCAGCAAGUGAAUGUCCCCAGGCCGGUAGGGGCAAUGUGAAGAUGAAUCUUAUAUCUCCAAUUUCUCGAAGAACAUUUAUUCAUCUUCCUGGAAUUCACUCAUUGCCAGUUCUUUUAGAAAUACUGACACAGUUAAUAGUGUCUAAUGUCGUGGAUGACUGCCUUCCACCGAUGUCGUGACUUCCCACCCAAGAACCAAUGACUUCUUUCUCUGUGAUUCAGCUCUCCACUGACCCUCAUGGGCAAGAGUGGGGUUUCAGCAAUUAUUCUUUCAACCUCUAUUGAUUAAUCACACGAUAUAAGCCAGACACAGUUCUGGGCAGCAGGAUACAAUAGUGAACAAGACAACCCCAAAUCCCUGCUCUUGUGGAACUGACAUUUUCUCAUGGGGUGUGGGGGUUGGGGAAGAAUGAGAGAUGUUAAAUGCAAAACCAAAAUAAAAGAAAUUUUAAGAUCAUGUGAUAGGGAGUGGCUGGCUGGUCAGGGAUAGCCUCUCCAGGACUGGGACAUUCAUGGGAGUUGACAUGUGAAUUAUGAGAAGAAGCCGACAAUGCCAAGAUCACAUGGCAACACGUUUCAUGCAAAAGAAACAGCCAGCAUGAAGCCUGUGAGCUGGGAACAAGACCGGCUCAGGUCAAGGGACAGACAAAAAGGCCAACAAGGCUGAAAAAGAAUAAGGAAGAGGAGAGGGGUGUGAGGUUCAGCAGGAAAGAUCUGAAGGACUGGGUCAGACAGGGUUCUUCAGGACAUGGAAAAGAAUUUGAAUUUUUUAAAUAAAUGCAAUGAGAAGACACUGGAGAAUUUUAAUCAUGAGGGUAACAUAGUCUGUUUUGCAUUUGAAAACUAACAUUGUGACUGUUAGGCAGCAAAUGAAGUUGCCCUCCCCCAGUCCAUCCCUGGCCGUGGUUGAUCGAAACAUAAGUGACCAUCUUACCCGGUGUGUUUUUUGUCACUAUGGAAUUUGCAUUUAGGAACAAAGGGUCUGUGUUUAUUCAAGUGGUCUCUUCAUGGGGCCGAUACUGUAACAUACAUAGCUGGGGGUCUGAGGCAGCCACGUUGUGCCAAGGGCACUGAGGAGAAAAUGGCGGCCUGCUGGAUUCUUCUUUCUUCUGAGGCUCAGGUGACUGCUUGUCCUCAUAUCACUCCACCAGACUGUCAGGAGCUAAGCGGAGCUCGAGAGAGCUGAGCUGCCAGGUGUCAGGGUAGCUGAUUAAGACAACAAGCCAAGAUGAACAGUGAAGGCUUUAAUCAUUUACUGCAAUAGUAUGCACAAGAGACUAAACCAGAGAAAGUGCCGACUCCCCAUCAUUCCAUUUUCCCCAGCGCACCAGCCCUCAUUGAGGGUCUGGAUCAGCACUGAAGCCAAGGGAUUGUCUCACAGCUGAGGGACCCCUGAACAAGAGACUCCCGCCAUCAAAUGGAUCUGGAGCUGGCGGGGGGUGGGGAGAAGGAAGGGCUAUGAGUGUGAAAGUACUGAGCACUGAGUCAGAGUGGAGAAAAACAUCUCCAAGCCUCCCCGCUUCUUCUCCUUGAUAAGGUGACCCCUGCAGAGGUGUCUAAGAUAAGCCUCUGCAGAAAGCCUGUGAUAAAGAGGCCUCCAAAGAGAGGCACCUGGGCCAGGAAUGUGGAUGUGCAUAAGAGCAAGGCUGGCUGGGGGGACUCAGUGCUUGACUGCAACUCCCCUCAGAGACUCAAUGUGUCGGCUGUGCCCCAAGUCUGCAGUGGGGAGGGCAGUUUCUCCCCACGAGGUCUGACAGGUAAAGCCUGGUAUUAAUAAUUGCUUAUGGCCAGAUGUGAAAGUUCACACAUAGGUUUAGGGCUACGAACUGGUACUCCAAACAGACUAUGCUAGGUGCUUACUAUAAACCCAUCUACAGUAGAGCUUGAGUAACUUCUGCUGCUUGAAACUGGCACUCUAACUAAUGAAAUUUAAAAUGAACCCCAAAAUGAGUUAGAGUCAAAUAAUGACAGGAUGUGGGAAAUGAUCACAACAUAGGUAUAGACUCCAGAAAAAUGGGCACCACUACCCAUAAGAAGACGCCCAGAGAUAUCUUGCAGACUAUUUAAAUUGAGAGCAAGAGUUUGAGCCUGUACAGUAUUUCUGGCAAUCCAAAGAGGCAAACCCAGGGGCAGGAGCUAGAGAACUUGAAAUAUAACCAGAGUGGCCUAUCUCUGAGCUUACCUGUUGGCUUACUCUUUGCCAGAAAUUUCUGUUGUGCAACAAGAAUGAUAACAGUUGGGAAGAGAAGAAAGGUGCAAGAGAAGCCCUUGACUAUCUCACCAAACCCAUCCCCUCCCUCUGCUUCCUCCUUCACUCUGCUUUGGCCCCACUGGUCUGCUCCCUGUUGCCCGACAAGUUCACACCCCAGGUCCCUUGUAUAUGCUGUUCCCUUUGCCUGAAUUGCUCUUCCCUUCAGCCCUUGCUAGACUCCUUCAUUCAAGCCUCGGCUGAAACGUCACCAUUUUCAAGAGUGACCUGGCCAUUCCAUCCCAAAUGGCAGUUCUAUCACUUUUUAUCCCCUAACAGUGGUUUCUAUUUUUCUUUAUAAUACUUAUCACAACCUGAUAUUAUGAUUGAUUGCUUUGUUAGUUCUUGUGUCUUCCUGUGCCCACACUAGAAUGUAAGCUCCACGAAGUUGAGAGCUGUUUAGUUCAUAAAUCACUGCAUCCUCAGAGCCUAGAAUAGCACCCAGGA